Molecule: long non-coding RNA, 446 nt
Organism: Mercurialis annua (annual mercury)
Lineage: Eukaryota; Viridiplantae; Streptophyta; Magnoliopsida; Malpighiales; Euphorbiaceae
Exons: 2
Source: RefSeq, a predicted model, not a curated record
UUUUGCAGCCAAAGACUUCAGCUCAGAGGGUGUUUUAUAACAAAGGCAUGAGAAGGGUUGGCAAUGAAUCUGAACCUAAGUUUAUGACUGAAAGGACACAGGGUUUUAAGAAAUGGGGAAAAGAUUACACAACCGCAUCUCAAUUACAGGAAGGAUUCCAAACCAGUAUACCUUUAAGUACAUCUAAUUCAGGAAAAAGGAAAACAAGCUAGUGUCAACAAAAGAUGCAAAAAUGGCUUAUCUUCUAUGGCUUCAGACUCAAUUAUAACUACGCAAGAGUUCAUCGAAAAUGAACCGAGUCAAGUGAACUUAGCACAAAACUCCAUCAACUGAAUGAUCUUCACACAAGACUUUAGCAAAGAUUGUGUUUUGAGCAAAACUUCAAAUGUUCUUUUUCAACAAUUGCAAUGAUUAUUAUGAUAUUUUGGUUCCAUGGGUUAAUUGUA